Molecule: ribosomal RNA, 386 nt
Filed under: uncultured bacterium
Lineage: Bacteria
Description: partial 16S ribosomal RNA
Rfam family: Bacterial small subunit ribosomal RNA
Source: RNAcentral
AUACGUAGGGGGCGAGCGUUAUCCGGAUUUAUUGGGCGUAAAGCGUGUGUAGGCGGUUUGUUAAGUUUAAGAUUAAAGCCCGAGGCUUAACCUCGGUUCGUCUUAAAAACAGGCAGACUUGAGUGCAGUAGAGGCAAGUGGAAUUUCUAGUGUAGCGGUUAAAUGCGUAGAUAUUAGAAGGAACACCAGUGGCGAAGGCGGCUUGCUGGGCUGUUACUGACGCUGAGACACGAAAGCGUGGGGAGCAAAUAGGAUUAGAUACCCUAGUAGUCCACGCCGUAAACGAUGAGUACUAAGUGUCGGGUAACCGGUGCUGAAGUUAACACAUUAAGUACUCCGCCUGAGUAGUACGGUCGCAAGGCUGAAACUCAAAUGAAUGGACGGGG